RNAcentral lists this ribosomal RNA (430 nucleotides) under uncultured Syntrophobacter sp. RNAcentral's name for it is "bacterial SSU rRNA". It matches the Rfam family "Bacterial small subunit ribosomal RNA", at positions 355 to 776 of the family's 1533-position model. Lineage: Bacteria; Pseudomonadati; Thermodesulfobacteriota; Syntrophobacteria; Syntrophobacterales; Syntrophobacteraceae. The record is from RNAcentral.
UGAGGAAUUUUGCGCAAUGGCCGCAAGGCUGACGCAGCAACGCCGCGUGGGUGAUGAAGGCCUUCGGGUCGUAAAGCCCUGUCAGGUGGGAAGAAAGGUACCUUUUCGAACAGGGGGGGUAUUUGACGGUACCACCAGAGGAAGCACCGGCUAACUCCGUGCCAGCAGCCGCGGUAAUACGGAGGGUGCGAGCGUUAUUCGGAAUUACUGGGCGUAAAGCGCGUGCAGGCGGGAAGGUAAGUCUGAUGUGAAAGCCCCGGGCUUAACCCGGGAAGUGCAUUGGAAACUGCUUUUCUUGAGUACUGGAGAGGAAGGGGGAAUUCCCGGUGUAGAGGUGAAAUUCGUAGAGAUCGGGAGGAAUACCAGUGGCGAAGGCGCCCUUCUGGACGGUUACUGACGCUGAGACGCGAAAGCGUGGGGAGCAAACAGG